UCGUUCUUGUAAAAGUCUUAUCGGACGAUAAUCGAACCAUGAAAGCCCUCCGAUAGCUGCAGCAGGCCACCCCUGGCCUCCGACAGCCAGGACUUUCCAUCCCUCUCCUCCUCUCUUUCUUUCUCACUUUUUCUCUCUUUCCCUCUCCCUCCUCUGAUAUACUAGUUUCGUUGGCCGAACCUUAUCGGUUCUCCACUAGUCUGAUACAGUACGGAAUAUAUCGGCUGG
This 228-nucleotide long non-coding RNA is filed under the name Elaeis guineensis (African oil palm). Its description in RNAcentral is "long non-coding RNA (EGUI_LNC032278)". The record is from RNAcentral. Lineage: Eukaryota; Viridiplantae; Streptophyta; Magnoliopsida; Arecales; Arecaceae.